GACGAAUGCUGGCGGCGUGCUUAACACAUGCAAGUCGAACGGUGAAGGAGGGCUUGCCCUCCGGAUCAGUGGCGAACGGGUGAGUAACACGUGGGCAACCUGCCCUUCACUCUGGGAUAACCUCGGGAAACCGUGGCUAAUACCGGAUAUGACCUAGAGCGACAUCUCUUUAGGUGGAAAGAAUUUCGGUGAAGGAUGGGCCCGCGGCCUAUCAGCUAGUUGGUGGGGUAACGGCCCACCAAGGCGACGACGGGUAGCCGGCCUGAGAGGGCGACCGGCCACACUGGGACUGAGACACGGCCCAGACUCCUACGGGAGGCAGCAGUGGGGAAUAUUGCGCAAUGGGCGAAAGCCUGACGCAGCGACGCCGCGUGAGGGACGAAGG
RNAcentral lists this ribosomal RNA (385 nucleotides) under uncultured bacterium. RNAcentral describes it as "bacterial SSU rRNA". It matches the Rfam family "Bacterial small subunit ribosomal RNA", at positions 28 to 414 of the family's 1533-position model. The record is from RNAcentral.